This 465-nucleotide ribosomal RNA is filed under the name uncultured bacterium. RNAcentral describes it as "bacterial SSU rRNA". It matches the Rfam family "Bacterial small subunit ribosomal RNA", at positions 339 to 796 of the family's 1533-position model. The record is from RNAcentral.
CUACGGGAGGCAGCAGUGGGGAAUCUUCCACAAUGGGCGCAAGCCUGACGGAGCAAUGCCGCGUGAGUGAAGAAGGCCUUCGGGUUGUAAAACUCUGUCCUUAUCGAAGAGAGCUGAGCGGAGUAACUGCCGCUUAGAGGACGGUAGAUAAGGAGGAAGCCCCGGCUAACUAUGUGCCAGCAGCCGCGGUAAAACAUAGGGGGCAAGCGUUGUCCGGAAUCACUGGGCGUAAAGGGCGCGCAGGCGGCCCUGUAAGUCAGGUGUGAAAGUUCGGGGCUCAACCCCGUGAUGGCACCUGAUACUGCAGGACUUGAGUAUGGGAGAGGCAAGUGGAAUUCCUAGUGUAGCGGUGAAAUGCGUAGAUAUUAGGAGGAACACCAGUGGCGAAGGCGGCUUGCUGGACCAAAACUGACGCUGAGGCGCGAAAGCGUGGGGAGCAAACAGGAUUAGAUACCCUUGUAGUCC